ACUCGUUCUGUGUGGGUUGCAAUAGUUACUUUGAAAUAAUGCUGGAUGGAGUAUUAUUUAUGUACUUUUUUCCAUUGUAUUUAUGGAAUAAUCUUGAUUGGAAAGAAUGAAGAAAGAAAAUAAAGAUUCAAGAGAAGAUGUAUUUCUAGAACUGCUUUUAGUAAGAUUAAUGUAGGAUGCAAGAUUUGCAACUUUUUCAAGGCAUUAUAAAGACCAAUUCGCAUCAAAACAUCAAGAAAUAAACCAACAUCUUUUAUCCAUCUAAAUUACCCUGAAGACUCGCCAGAAAAAGCUUAAAUGACUAUAGUGAUUGCAUGAGGAAGAGGUUCAAGUUGAUUCUAGCUGUGACGAGUAGAAGAAACGUGGAAUGAGGCGAAAAGAGGAACAGGAAGGCUUCAAUCGAGCUGGAACAGACAGAACAAAAAGGAGAGUGAAAGAAAAGAACGGGGAGAAAGAAAAGUCAGGGAGCAAAAGUGUACGUGUGCAUGAAAGAACUCGAGAGGGAUGGCUCGGUUAUUUAUAGGAUUACAAUAACGUGACUUGAUAAAAUGCCAGGCGACACAGUCUUGCGCCGCGGGAAUAAUUGUGGGUGUACGCACGUGCACCACGUAACAUUAUGGCUUGAUGACUAUGCACACCCUACAGAACAAGAAUUCUACUACGUUCUGUGUAAAAAUUUUUAGAGACAGUUAGUUUAAGUUUAAGCAAUUCUGAAAAUUGCAGAGUAUUUAAAUUUUUUAAUUUUUUAGGUGUCUAGACUUUUUAAUUUUGGUUGCAGGAUUUAAUAAAAUUUUUGAACAGAUUUCAGAAUCUUUAGUU
This is a long non-coding RNA of Bombus pascuorum, 819 nucleotides long. RefSeq lists it as uncharacterized. Lineage: Eukaryota; Metazoa; Arthropoda; Insecta; Hymenoptera; Apidae. The transcript is spliced from 3 exons. The record is from RefSeq and is a predicted model, not a curated record.